Molecule: long non-coding RNA, 961 nt
Organism: Anas platyrhynchos (mallard)
Lineage: Eukaryota; Metazoa; Chordata; Aves; Anseriformes; Anatidae
Source: RefSeq, a predicted model, not a curated record
UACAAGUUAGUAAGAAUAAAAUCAAGAGAGAGCAGCUGUGAGAUGGAGAGGCAGCAGAUGCUUGUCUACACAAGCAGUUAAUUCAGAAUGAAAAAAAAUAAAAGGAAGGAAGAGUAUUCUGAGCCUAGUGAAUUAAUUGUUGUGGAGGUCAUAAGAGGUCCUGUGAAAAUAUCUUCAAAUUUAACUAAUAUUAACAUCACAGAGCAGCAGACAACAUGCAACAAUCUCCAGUAGAAUGAGAAGAGACUGAUACAGAAACCUACCUAAGAUUGCCUCAUCUUUUCCAGAAGCAUGAGGUUUUUGCUUCAUAUCCCUGCUCCACAAUCUGACAGAGGAAGGAUUUGAAUUUAUAUAUCUGACAUCAAGUCAAGCAAGUGUUACAUGAAACAUCUUUCCUUGAAAGAAAGCUGCUGAGUGGUACAAAGACAAGAUGAUGCCUGCUGGGUUCCCCGCAUUCAGCUUCCUACUUCUCUCAAGAACAAGCUCCAGUGUAUGUCUUUGCCAGCAGGGCAUACUGAAGGGGUCUCUGAUCUCAAAAGGCAAGGCUAGGUUUGAACUUGUCCUUUAUUCAGAGCAAUUACAAGGUAUCUCUCAUCCAUUCAGCCACUGGUGUGCGUGCUGCUAAUGGGAGCCUAAUUACCUCCACCUUUCUUCCAAUUGUCGUGGGAAUUAGGUGGUGGGUUCAGAAGUUACUGGCAGAGUUGUUCAUCUAGGUUGCUAACAGGACUGCUGCUAAUUAGAUUACUAAUGUAUCUGGUUCUUUCUAUGCAGACAUUUCUUUUUUAUCCCAGCUGAUGAACUGAUGCCACAUCUUCAUUGCAAUAGAACAAUCUCAGUUCACUCACUUUCUAAUUGGCAAUUUGUGCAAAUUAAUCACUAUGGUUUGGGUGCAACCUGCUAUCAACAUGUCUGACAUGAAGAUUUAUAAUGAUGCCUGACAGCUGUACCUCUAAACCUGUUU